CCUACGGGAGGCUGCAGUGGGGAAUAUUGCACAAUGGGGGAAACCCUGAUGCAGCGACGCCGCGUGAAGGACGAAGUAUUUCGGUAUGUAAACUUCUAUCAGCAGGGAAGAAAAUGACGGUACCUGAGUAAGAAGCCGCGGAUAACUACGUGCCAGCAGCCGCAGUAAUACGUAGGGGGCAAGCGUUAUCCGGAUUUACUGGGUGUAAAGGGAGCGUAGGCGGUUUAGCAAGUCAGAAGUGAAAGCCCGGGGCUUAACGCCGGGACUGGUUUUGAAACUGUUUGACUAGAUUGCAGGAGAGGUAAGUGGAAUGCCUAGUGUAGCGGUGAAAUGCGUAGAUAUUAGGAGGAACACCAGUGGCGAAGGCAGCUUACCGGCCUGUAAAUGACGCUGAGGCUCGAAAGCGUGGGGAGCAAACAGGAUUAGAUACCCGAGUAGUC
RNAcentral lists this ribosomal RNA (440 nucleotides) under uncultured bacterium. RNAcentral describes it as "partial 16S ribosomal RNA". It matches the Rfam family "Bacterial small subunit ribosomal RNA", at positions 338 to 795 of the family's 1533-position model. The record is from RNAcentral.